Molecule: ribosomal RNA, 459 nt
Filed under: uncultured bacterium
Lineage: Bacteria
Description: partial 16S ribosomal RNA
Rfam family: Bacterial small subunit ribosomal RNA
Source: RNAcentral
CCUACGGGAGUCAGCAGUGAGGAAUAUUGGUCAAUGGCCGGAAGGCUGAACCAGCCAAGCCGCGUGAAGGACGAAGGUGCCAAGCAUUGUACACUUCUUUUGUCAAGGGACAAAAUCAGGCUCGAGAGCCUGACCGAGGGUACUUGAAGAAAAAGCAUCGGCUAACUCCGUGCCAGCAGCCGCGGUAAUACGGAGGAUGCGAGCGUUAUCUGGAUUUAUUGGGUUUAAAGGGUGCGUAGGCGGACUGUUAAGUCAGCGGUAAAAGCCCGGGGCUCACCCCCGGCGAGCCGUUGAAACUGGCUGUCUUGAGAUGUCGAGAGGUAUGCGGAAUGAGUAGUGUAGCGGUGAAAUGCAUAGAUAUCGCGCAGAACUCCGAUUGCGAAGGCAGCGUACCGGCGCCAGACUGACGCUGAGGCACGAAAGCGUGGGGAUCGAACAGGAUUAGAUACCCGUGUAGUC